UGCCAGCCGCCGCGGUAAUACGGAGGGGGCUAGCGUUGUUCGGAAUCACUGGGCGUAAAGCGGCUCGCAGGUGGCUUUGUAAGUCAGAUGGUGAAAGCCCACGGCUCAACCGUGGAAUUGCAUUUUGAUACUGCAUCGCUAGAGUAUAGGAGAGGGAAGUGGAAUUUCUGGUGUAGGAGUGAAAUCCGUAGAGAUCAGAAGGAACACCGGUGGCGAAGGCGACUUCCUGGACUAUUACUGACACUGAGGAGCGAAAGCGUGGGGAGCAAACAGGAUUAGAUA
This 282-nucleotide ribosomal RNA is filed under the name uncultured bacterium. RNAcentral describes it as "partial 16S ribosomal RNA". It matches the Rfam family "Bacterial small subunit ribosomal RNA", at positions 506 to 784 of the family's 1533-position model. The record is from RNAcentral.